AGGAUUAUAUUUAAAUAUAAUAUUUGAUUUGCAAUCAAAAGGUAUCCAAAGGAUUAAUCUUU
RNAcentral lists this transfer RNA (62 nucleotides) under Leofa pulchella. RNAcentral's name for it is "tRNA-Ala". Lineage: Eukaryota; Metazoa; Arthropoda; Insecta; Hemiptera; Cicadellidae. The record is from RNAcentral.